AUGCAACCACUCUUGUGGAGAAAAAUUCAUUCCUUGUGUCCAGCUGGAAUCUCUCCUGCUGCACCUUGUGACUGUUGCUCCUUAUGCUGUUGUGGUGCAUCUCGGAAAAAAUUCUCUCCUCUGUAAUGCCUACUAAGAAACUGAGAAGCUCUGUGACAGGAUCAAAACAAGAGCAAUCAGUCUUACAUUUCCAUGAAGACAUAGUCAGCUUUGAGCAAGUUUCUAGAAUAAAUGAACAACUGAACAAUAUAAAGUCUGCAAUAACUAGGCCAUCUCCUCUGCUUUCUGGACUUAGCAACUUGGAAGUUUCCUUGAAAAGGAAGCUCAAGUAAUUACUUGUUAGAAUAAAUUGAAAAAAAAUAGAAAAUGCAAACUGGCCAACUGAAAGACACAGGCUUCUACAUGCACAGUAAUCUCCUAUUUAGGACUGAGACUUCCAUUUUUGCUUGAUUUCUCAGACUACUGCUACCAAACACGUCGAAGGAGUCAACUGAAGUUGCUGAGCAGUAUCAUUUAUGUAGAAGAUAUUUACCAGGCAUCACUAUUAUGACAGAACGCUAAUAAUUUUUUGUGCUCUAAAGAAAAACACCUUUGGCAGUUCUGAUGCAUAUGAUUUAGUCAGUAAGUAAAAUAUAAUUAUCUCAAUCUUAACAUACCAUCUCUUUGCUACUAAAUACAGAAUAUUCAACAAAAGAAAUGUAGAGUCUAAACCCUGUAUUUAAAACAUACUUAGUUCUAUGGUUUAUGAUGUAUAGCUUAAUAAAGAUGAGCCCUGAGUUGAACUGUUUUAUUUGCAUAAACAA
This is a long non-coding RNA of Pipra filicauda (Wire-tailed manakin), 803 nucleotides long. RefSeq lists it as uncharacterized. The record is from RefSeq and is a predicted model, not a curated record. The transcript is spliced from 3 exons. NCBI's taxonomy places the organism in Eukaryota, Metazoa, Chordata, Aves, Passeriformes, Pipridae.